GAUGAACGCUGGCGGCGUGCUUAACACAUGCAAGUCGAACGGAAAGGCCCAAUCUUGCUUGGGUACUCGAGUGGCGAACGUGUGAGUAACACGUGUGUGACCUGCCCUGCACUUCGGGAUAAUCCUGGGAAACUGGGGCUAAUACCGGAUAGGACCACUUCGUGGACGGUGUGGUGGAAAGUUUUUUCGGUGUGGGAUGAGCUCGCGGCCUAUCAGCUUGUUGGUGUGGGCAUGGCGUACCAAGGCGUCGACGGGUAGCCGGCCUGCGAGGGUGUACGGCCACAUUGGGACUGAGAUCCGGGCCAGACUGCUGCGGGAGGCAGCAGUGGAGAAUAUUGCACAAGGGGCGGAAGCCUGAUGCGGCGAAGCCGCGUGGGGGAGGACGGCCCUCGGGUUGUAAGCUACUUUCGCUAGGGACGAAGCGUUUUGUGACGGUACCUGGAGAAGAAGCACCGGCUAACUACGUG
Molecule: ribosomal RNA, 467 nt
Filed under: uncultured bacterium
Lineage: Bacteria
Description: partial 16S ribosomal RNA
Rfam family: Bacterial small subunit ribosomal RNA
Source: RNAcentral